CAGCCGCCGCGGUAAUACGUAGGUGGCAAGCGUUGUCCGGAAUUAUUGGGCGUAAAGGGCUCGCAGGCGGUUUCUUAAGUCUGAUGUGAAAGCCCCCGGCUCAACCGGGGAGGGUCAUUGGAAACUGGGAAACUUGAGUGCAGAAGAGGAGAGUGGAAUUCCACGUGUAGCGGUGAAAUGCGUAGAGAUGUGGAGGAACACCAGUGGCGAAGGCGACCCUCUGGUCUGUAACUGACGCUGAGGAGCGAAAGCGUGGGGAGCGAACAGGAUUAGAUACCCCUGUAGUCCCUGUCUCUUAUAU
RNAcentral lists this ribosomal RNA (301 nucleotides) under uncultured bacterium. RNAcentral describes it as "partial 16S ribosomal RNA". It matches the Rfam family "Bacterial small subunit ribosomal RNA", at positions 509 to 809 of the family's 1533-position model. The record is from RNAcentral.